Molecule: ribosomal RNA, 494 nt
Filed under: uncultured bacterium
Lineage: Bacteria
Description: partial 16S ribosomal RNA
Rfam family: Bacterial small subunit ribosomal RNA
Source: RNAcentral
GACGAACGCUGGCGGCGUGCUUAACACAUGCAAGUCGAACGGAAAGGCCUGCUUUCCCUUGUGGAUUGCGGGUACUCGAGUGGCGAACGGGUGAGUAACACGUGAGUGAUCUGCCCCCAACUUGGGUAUAAGCCUGGGAAACUGGGUCUAAUUCCCGAUAGGACUGCAGGGUGGUGCCUGUGGUGGAAAACGAUUUUCUAGUGGUUGGGGAUGAGCUCGCGGCCUAUCAGCUUGUUGGUGGGGUAAUGGCCUACCAAGGCGGCGACGGGUAGCCGGCCUGAGAGGGUGGGCGGCCACAUUGGGACUGAGAUACGGCCCAGACUCCUACGGGAGGCAGCAGUGGGGAAUAUUGCAAAAUGGGCGGAAGCCUGAUGCAGCGACGCCGCGUGGGGGAUGACGGCCUUCGGGUUGUAAACUCCUUUCGACCGCGAGGAAGCCACCUGGUUGGAAGGGUGGUGACGGUAGUGGUAGAAGAAGCACCGGCUAACUACGUG